This 1312-nucleotide unclassified non-coding RNA is filed under the name Hevea brasiliensis (rubber tree). Lineage: Eukaryota; Viridiplantae; Streptophyta; Magnoliopsida; Malpighiales; Euphorbiaceae. The record is from RNAcentral.
AUGAUCUCACAUAGACAUAUAAAAAGGAGUUGGAAAGCUUUUUUCUCUUCCGGUAUGGGCACCAUUUUGGUUGCAAACUGGUGCAUAAUUUCUCUUGUAGUACAAAAUAAUUCCUUCUACAUGUGAAGUGGUUUAGUGCUUAGAGUACUUCUGGAGAACCUCGAAGUAGUCGGGGAAGGUUUUGCGAGUACAGCCAGGGUCCUUAAUAGUGACUGGAACAUCAGCACAAGCAGCAAGAGAGAAAGCCAUAGCCAUUCUGUGGUCAUCAUAUGUAUCAAUCUCCGUUACGUUUAACUUUUCUGGUGGGGUGAUUAUGCAGUAGUCUGACCCUUCAACAACUGUUGCACCCAACUUCCUAAGUUCGGUGCAUAUGGCAAUCAUCCGCUCAGUUUCCUUUACUCUCCAGCUAGCAACGUCUCUUAUGGUAGUAGGACCAUCAGCAAAAAGUGCAACUACGGCAAGAGUCAUGGCCACAUCUGGCAUUUUGUUCAUGUUCACGUCAAUGGCACGCAAAUGUUUCAUUCCAGAAGAGUUCCUCGGAGGUCCUUUAACUGUGACACUGUUCUCUGUCCAUGUAACUUCUGCCCCCAUCUUCUCGAGGACCUCAGCGAACUUAACAUCUCCCUGUAAACUGCUUGUUCCACAACCUUCAACAGUGACGGUUCCACCUGUGACUGCUGCCCCCGCCAAAAAAUAGCUAGCACUUGAGGCAUCUCCUUCAACAAAUGCUUUCCCAGGAGAUUUGUACUUCUGACCUCCUUUUACCAAGAAUCUGUCCCAGCCACUACUGUGCUCCACAAAGACACCAAAUCGCUCCAUCAACUUCAGUGUCAUUUCAACAUAAGGCACAGAUAUCAGUUUGUCAAUUAUUUCAAUCUCCACAUCUCCUAGAGCCAGGGGAGCAGCCAUAAGCAGAGCAGUCAGGUAUUGGCUGCUGAUGGAUCCAGAGAGCUUUACCUUCCCUCCUGGAAGACCUCCCUUGCUGACAAUUCGAACAGGAGGACAUUUCGUACCAAGGAAACAAUCAACCUCUGCACCAAGCUGCUUAAGACCAUCAACCAAAUCACUAAUUGGUCUCUCUCUCAUUCGAGGAACUCCAUCAAGUACAUACCUUGAAUUUCCGCCAGCUACAGCAACUGCUGCUGUUAGUGGCCGCAUUGCAGUUCCUGCAUUUCCAAGGAAAAGUUGAAUCUCUUCCUUGGACUCUUUAGCGGCAGGGAACAAACCACCACAACCUUCAACAACAGCUCGUUGGUUUCCACUGUCAUCUUCUACUUGCAGUCCAAGUGCUUUCAACGCACCAAGCAUGUAA